Molecule: ribosomal RNA, 253 nt
Filed under: uncultured bacterium
Lineage: Bacteria
Description: partial 16S ribosomal RNA
Rfam family: Bacterial small subunit ribosomal RNA
Source: RNAcentral
UACGUAGGAGGCGAGCGUUGUCCGGAGUUACUGGGCGUAAAGGGUGCGUAGGCGGCGCGGUAAGUCGGGUGUGAAAUCUCGGAGCUUAACUCCGAAACUGCAUUCGAUACUGCCGUGCUUGAGGACUGGAGAGGAGACUGGAAUUUACGGUGUAGCGGUGAAAUGCGUAGAUAUCGUAAGGAAGACCAGUGGCGAAGGCGGGUCUCUGGACAGUUCCUGACGCUGAGGCACGAAAGCCAGGGGAGCAAACGGG